RNAcentral lists this small RNA (107 nucleotides) under Marmota monax (woodchuck). Lineage: Eukaryota; Metazoa; Chordata; Mammalia; Rodentia; Sciuridae. The record is from RNAcentral.
GCCAGAUGUGGUGGCGCACACCUGUAAUCCUAGUGGUUUGGGAGGCUGAGGCAGGAGGAUCGCAAGUUCAAAGCCAGCCUCAGCAACUUAGUGAGAACCUGUCUCAA